CCUACGGGGGGCUGCAGUAAGGAAUAUUGGUCAAUGGACGCAAGUCUGAACCAGCCAUGCCGCGUGGAGGAUGAAGGCCCUCUGGGUUGUAAACUUCUUUUAUAGGGGACGAAACACUUCUUUUCCAAGAGGCUUGACGGUACCCUAGGAAUAAGCACCGGCUAACUCCGUGCCAGCAGCCGCGGUAAUACGGAGGGUGCAAGCGUUAUCCGGAUUCACUGGGUUUAAAGGGUGCGUAGGAGGGCAGGUAAGUCAGUGGUGAAAUCUUCGAGCUU
Molecule: ribosomal RNA, 275 nt
Filed under: uncultured bacterium
Lineage: Bacteria
Description: partial 16S ribosomal RNA
Rfam family: Bacterial small subunit ribosomal RNA
Source: RNAcentral